RNAcentral lists this ribosomal RNA (493 nucleotides) under uncultured bacterium. Its description in RNAcentral is "partial 16S ribosomal RNA". It matches the Rfam family "Bacterial small subunit ribosomal RNA", at positions 30 to 523 of the family's 1533-position model. The record is from RNAcentral.
AUUGAACGCUGGCGGCAUGCCUUACACAUGCAAGUCGAACGGUAACAGGUUAAGCUGACGAGUGGCGAACGGGUGAGUAAUGUAUCGGAACGUGCCCAGUCGUGGGGGAUAACUACUCGAAAGAGUGGCUAAUACCGCAUACGACCUGAGGGUGAAAGCGGGGGACCGUAAGGCCUCGCGCGAUUGGAGCGGACGAUAUCAGAUUAGCUAGUUGGCGGGGUAAAAGCCCACCAAGGCGACGAUCUGUAGCUGGUCUGAGAGGACGACCAGCCACACUGGGACUGAGACACGGCCCAGACUCCUACGGGAGGCAGCAGUGGGGAAUUUUGGACAAUGGACGCAAGUCUGAUCCAGCCAUGCCGCGUGCGGGAAGAAGGCCUUCGGGUUGUAAACCGCUUUUGUCAGGGAAGAAACGGGUUUCUCUAAUACAGAGACCUAAUGACGGUACCUGAAGAAUAAGCACCGGCUAACUACGUGCCAGCAGCCGCAGUAA